Molecule: ribosomal RNA, 105 nt
Filed under: Pedobacter sp.
Lineage: Bacteria; Pseudomonadati; Bacteroidota; Sphingobacteriia; Sphingobacteriales; Sphingobacteriaceae
Source: RNAcentral
CCUAUAUCGGCGGUGUCCACCUCUUCCCAUUCCGAACAGAGAAGUUAAGCCCGCCAGAGCCGAUGGUACUGCAGUAACAUGUGGGAGAGUAGGUCGGUGCCAAAU